Molecule: ribosomal RNA, 253 nt
Filed under: uncultured bacterium
Lineage: Bacteria
Description: partial 16S ribosomal RNA
Rfam family: Bacterial small subunit ribosomal RNA
Source: RNAcentral
UACGUAGGGGGCAGGCGUUGUCCGGAUUUAUUGGGCGUAAAGAGCGUGUAGGCGGUUUGGUAGGUCCGUUGUGAAAUCCCCGGGCUCAACCUGGGAAUGGCGAUGGAUACUGGCGAGCUAGAGUGUGUCAGAGGAUGGUGGAAUUCCCGGUGUAGCGGUGAAAUGCGUAGAGAUCGGGAGGAACAUCAGUGGCGAAGGCGGCCAUCUGGGACAACACUGACGCUGAAGCACGAAAGCGUGGGGAGCAAACAGG